CGCCCCCCACCGAUCCGCUCCCGCCGCGAGGCGCCAGUUGGGUCGAGUGCAAGUGGCCGUCCCGGCGAAGUGGCCUUCUUUCACGAGGAGGCCGUCCUUGGAAGGGUCGGCUGAAAUGGAUGGAAUCGGGCCGCCGUGGUGACACAGUCCGCGAUCGGGUGAUUUUGUCGCGAGCCUCCCCCGGGAGGCUCUUGGUGAAUUUUUCUAAGUGCUUGGCUGCGUCCCCCAGUUGGCUCGGGUUACCUCAUGCAGGUCGAGCGCGCCCCCGCGGCGCGCGUCACGC
This 283-nucleotide unclassified non-coding RNA is filed under the name Brachythecium irinae. Its description in RNAcentral is "partial internal transcribed spacer 2". Lineage: Eukaryota; Viridiplantae; Streptophyta; Bryopsida; Hypnales; Brachytheciaceae. The record is from RNAcentral.